CAACGUUGGCACCGCUGAUGGUACAAAAGGCAGUUUAGCAAAGAAAUUUCCGUUCAUAUUUCUUUCUCUCUUGAACCGUCUUCGUGUGAAGAAUCAAAUAUGAGAGCUAAGUGGCGUAAGAAGCGUAUGCGGAGGUUGAAGCGUAAGCGCAGGAAGAUGCGUGCGAGGUCCAAGUAAAACGUUGACGACCCUGAAGAAUGUUUUUUUACAAGCUUCAACCUGACAUGAAAUGCUUCAAGUAAAGAUUUCGCUACAAAGUAUUAUAUUUGGGCGUGUUUCGGAAAAUUUACAUUGAAAAGUGUAACAUGUUUGAAAUAAAGAGAAAUCUUUGAUUUUUACUGGAAGUGAAACAAAAAAACUUAUAAA
Long non-coding RNA from Anastrepha ludens (Mexican fruit fly), 366 nucleotides. RefSeq lists it as uncharacterized. The record is from RefSeq and is a predicted model, not a curated record. The transcript has 3 exons. NCBI's taxonomy places the organism in Eukaryota, Metazoa, Arthropoda, Insecta, Diptera, Tephritidae.